AGCUUCUUAAUAUCCACAUCCUUAAGUUGGUACAACCCCUGAGGCCUAGUGUACUUCUCAUCCACCACUUGCCUCCUCCUUCCCAACUUAUUACCCAUUCCAAAAUAUUCACAAUAAUAACCCACAAAAACAACACAAACCAAUAAUUUCUAGCCCUAAUUUUCACAUCUCAAAAUACAAAACUUCCAAUACAUAAAUACCGAAAUAUGAACAAAAGAUAUUCACCCAUCCUGCAAAUUACCAGCAAAAAAAAACAAAACAUUAAGACUCAAAUACCUAAUCCAAUUUUUCACAAAAAAAAAAAAAAAAAAAAAACAAGCAAACAAGAGGUACCACACACCUGAAAAUGAAGGCAAUAGGAGAGAGAGAAAGAGAGGGGGAACAAGAUCAGAAGUUUCUUCUCUGAUACAAAAUUUGUAGUGUGUGUUUCGAUAUGUGAUUUACACGUAUUUUUACAGUUUUUUUAUAAAAAAUAAAGUAGUACUUUCUCUAAGAAAUGUCUGAUUUUUUUUGUUGUUAUAUAAAUAGAGGGAUUUGUUUUGUAUAUUAGGGGAUGGCUUGCGAAUAGAAGAGAAUGAGAUAAGCAAAUCGCAAGCAAAGCACCGUAUGAGAAAGAGUAGACGAGCCGGAAAGAAUCGCAAUCACCCCACCCCACCCCCGUCCCUCCCUUUUGGGGGUUAAAGCGGUGGGGUAGGGUAAGGUGAUGAUAAUUUUGCCAAAUUAUGUAAUUUUUUAUGUUGCAC
RNAcentral lists this long non-coding RNA (743 nucleotides) under Nicotiana tabacum (common tobacco). RNAcentral describes it as "long non-coding RNA (NTAB_LNC010217)". Lineage: Eukaryota; Viridiplantae; Streptophyta; Magnoliopsida; Solanales; Solanaceae. The record is from RNAcentral.